GUUGGCUUUAGCUUAUUUGGUAAAGCAUCCGUCUGUGCAACGGAAGAACAGGGUUCGAGCCCCGGAGUCAACC
This 73-nucleotide transfer RNA is filed under the name Chitinophagaceae bacterium. RNAcentral's name for it is "tRNA-His". It matches the Rfam family "tRNA". From Rfam's summary of the family: Transfer RNA (tRNA) molecules are approximately 80 nucleotides in length. Their secondary structure includes four short double-helical elements and three loops (D, anti-codon, and T loops). Further hydrogen bonds mediate the characteristic L-shaped molecular structure. tRNAs have two regions of fundamental functional importance: the anti-codon, which is responsible for specific mRNA codon recognition, and the 3' end, to which the tRNAs corresponding amino acid is attached (by aminoacyl-tRNA synthetases). tRNAs cope with the degeneracy of the genetic code in two manners: having more than one tRNA (with a specific anti-codon) for a particular amino acid; and 'wobble' base-pairing, i.e. permitting non-standard base-pairing at the 3rd anti-codon position. Lineage: Bacteria; Pseudomonadati; Bacteroidota; Chitinophagia; Chitinophagales; Chitinophagaceae. The record is from RNAcentral. RNAcentral also lists the same sequence under 1 other name.